Long non-coding RNA from Chenopodium quinoa (quinoa), 509 nucleotides. RefSeq lists it as uncharacterized. The record is from RefSeq and is a predicted model, not a curated record. NCBI's taxonomy places the organism in Eukaryota, Viridiplantae, Streptophyta, Magnoliopsida, Caryophyllales, Amaranthaceae. The transcript has 3 exons.
UUCUUAUGAAUAGUUCUUUGUGGUGCUAUUACAAAGACACCCUUACAUUUAAUGAGUUGCCGGAUUUGCCCUUGCUUAGCUUUGUACAUUUGCUUGCCAUGGAGGAUACAGCUGUUCUUUAGGCCUUCCUUUGACUGCCAGCUAAGGUUGGUUGAUGCUUGGCUGCUAUUUCUCAUUUCCUCGACUCUCCUUUCACCGACUUCCUUCUCUCUCUCUCAGAAACCUAGAGAGAGAAAUCUUCGACACCAGUGAUCGGUGCUCUCAGAUUAUUAAUCGAAAUUCAGCAAUCACCGAUCAUCCAUUCGAUGAUGAUUAUGGGGCUUCGGUUCUUCUUUGGGCUACCACAGCUCGUUGCUGAAAAUGUUCUGGCUUUCAAUGAGGGUUUCUGGAUUCGGCUUGCUGCCAGAACUGAUACCUGCAAAUCAGAGGAUGAUAAAGCAUGAAAGAUUAUGAAGAAUUGGCAGCAACGCUAAUGAGUACAGUAGACCGUCUUGUUCCCAAAACCAAUG